This 519-nucleotide ribosomal RNA is filed under the name uncultured bacterium. Its description in RNAcentral is "bacterial SSU rRNA". It matches the Rfam family "Bacterial small subunit ribosomal RNA", at positions 777 to 1297 of the family's 1533-position model. The record is from RNAcentral.
AAUAGACCUGGUAGUCCACGCCGUAAACGAUGAGUGCUAAGUGUUAGAGGGUUUCCGCCCUUUAGUGCUGCAGCUAACGCAUUAAGCACUCCGCCUGGGGAGUACGGCCGCAAGGCUGAAACUCAAAGGAAUUGACGGGGGCCCGCACAAGCGGUGGAGCAUGUGGUUUAAUUCGAAGCAACGCGAAGAACCUUACCAGGUCUUGACAUCCUCUGCCGACCCUAGAGAUAGGGCGUUCCCCUUCGGGGGACAGAGUGACAGGUGGUGCAUGGUUGUCGUCAGCUCGUGUCGUGAGAUGUUGGGUUAAGUCCCGCAACGAGCGCAACCCUUGAUCUUAGUUGCCAGCAUUCAGUUGGGCACUCUAAGGUGACUGCCGGUGACAAACCGGAGGAAGGUGGGGAUGACGUCAAAUCAUCAUGCCCCUUAUGACCUGGGCUACACACGUGCUACAAUGGAUGGUACAAAGAGCAGCGAACCCGCGAGGGUAAGCCAAUCUCAUAAAGCCAUUCUCAGUUCGGA